GAUGAACGCUGGCGGCGUGCCUAAUACAUGCAAGUCGAGCGAACGGACGAGAAGCUUGCUUCUCUGAUGUUAGCGGCGGACGGGUGAGUAACACAUGGAUAACCUACCUAUAAGACUGGGAUAACUUCGGGAAACCGGAGCUAAUACCGGAUAAUAUAUUGAACCGCAUGGUUCAAUAGUGAAAGACGGUUUUGCUGUCACUUAUAGAUGGAUCCGCGCCGCAUUAGCUAGUUGGUAAGGUAACGGCUUACCAAGGCAACGAUGCGUAGCCGACCUGAGAGGGUGAUCGGCCACACUGGAACUGAGACACGGUCCAGACUCCUACGGGAGGCAGCAGUAGGGAAUCUUCCGCAAUGGGCGAAAGCCUGACGGAGCAACGCCGCGUGAGUGAUGAAGGUCUUCGGAUCGUAAAACUCUGUUAUUAGGGAAGAACAAAUGUGUAAGUAACUAUGCACGUCUUGACGGUACCUAAUCAGAAAGCCACGGCUAACUACGUG
This 497-nucleotide ribosomal RNA is filed under the name uncultured bacterium. Its description in RNAcentral is "partial 16S ribosomal RNA". It matches the Rfam family "Bacterial small subunit ribosomal RNA", at positions 28 to 507 of the family's 1533-position model. The record is from RNAcentral.